This 497-nucleotide ribosomal RNA is filed under the name uncultured bacterium. Its description in RNAcentral is "partial 16S ribosomal RNA". It matches the Rfam family "Bacterial small subunit ribosomal RNA", at positions 28 to 507 of the family's 1533-position model. The record is from RNAcentral.
GAUGAACGCUGGCGGCGUGCCUAAUACAUGCAAGUCGAGCGAACAGACGAGGAGCUUGCUCCUCUGACGUUAGCGGCGGACGGGUGAGUAACACGUGGAUAACCUACCUAUAAGACUGGGAUAACUUCGGGAAACCGGAGCUAAUACCGGAUAAUAUAUUGAACCGCAUGGUUCAAUAGUGAAAGACGGUUUUGCUGUCACUUAUAGAUGGAUCCGCGCCGCAUUAGCUAGUUGGUAAGGUAACGGCCUACCAAGGCAACGAUGCGUAGCCGACCUGAGAGGAUGAUCGGCCACACUGGAACUGAGACACGGUCCAGACUCCUACGGGAGGCAGCAGUAGGGAAUAUUCCACAAUGGGCGAAGGCCUGACGGAGCAACGCCGCGUGAGUGAUGAAGGUCUUCGGAUCGUAAAACUCUGUUAUUAGGGAAGAACAAAUGUGUAAGUAACUAUGCACGUCUUGACGGUACCUAAUCAGAAAGCCACGGCUAACUACGUG